CUCUUGGUCAGUGUGGGAAACUGCUGGACCUGAAGUGCAGGAACAUAGCACAGAUAAAGGUGUUCUGGAGCCAAGCACGGGAAUGGGCCAAAAAAAAUCUUAAAAUCAAGCAAAAGCUUUUGCACAUUGGACAUUUUCCAGUACAAUACGUGUGCAAGACAUGUGAAAACAAGCCAAAAGACCUGGCCCCCAGCUUGAGAACCACAGGAGAACAUAGAUGGUGACUGUGUCAUAAAGGAAGUCUAAUAUUAGAUCUGUUGUCAGCUUGGUGGUGCAAAGAAAAAAAAACUUCUUCCCAUGAAACUGAGUUGUGUGGACAACAAUAAAUUUAGAAUAGAAUGAAAUGAGUAUAAUCUGAAAUUACGUUCACACAAUCUACAUUGUAGAAAUGCUGUACAAAACAAGAUAAAUUGAAAUGAGUGUGUAGAAGUCCAUUCAUUCAUUAAUUUUCCUCGGCUAAGUCUGAUUUAUCAGGGGUUUGCCACAGUGGAAUGAACCGCCAACUCCACUGGCAAAUGUUUUACGCAGCAGAUGCCCUUCUAGCCACAACCCAGUACUGGGAAACACCCAUACACACUUAUUGACAGACACACUCAUCCACUAUGGCCAAUACAGCAUGUGUUUGGAUUGGAGCACCCGGAGUAAACCCACACAAACACGGAGAACAUGCAAACUCCACACAGACACGCCAACUGACCCAGCCGGGACUCGAACCAGCGACUUUCUUGCUGUGAGGUGACCGCUGAGCCACAGUGCUGCCCUGC
Long non-coding RNA from Danio aesculapii, 764 nucleotides. RefSeq lists it as uncharacterized. The transcript has 3 exons. Lineage: Eukaryota; Metazoa; Chordata; Actinopteri; Cypriniformes; Danionidae. The record is from RefSeq and is a predicted model, not a curated record.